This 400-nucleotide ribosomal RNA is filed under the name uncultured bacterium. RNAcentral describes it as "bacterial SSU rRNA". It matches the Rfam family "Bacterial small subunit ribosomal RNA", at positions 355 to 771 of the family's 1533-position model. The record is from RNAcentral.
UAGGGAAUUUUCCACAAUGGACGAAAGUCUGAUGGAGCAACGCCGCGUGCAGGAUGAAGGCCUUCGGGUUGUAAACUGCUUUUAUCUGUGACGAUUAUGACGGUAGCAGAUGAAUAAGGAUCGGCUAACUCCGUGCCAGCAGCCGCGGUCAUACGGAGGAUCCAAGCGUUAUCCGGAAUUACUGGGCGUAAAGAGUUGCGUAGGCGGCAUAGCAAGCAGGGUGUGAAAUCGUGUGGCUCAACCACAUAAACAUGCUCUGAACUGCUAAGCUAGAGAAUGGAAGAGGUCGCUAGAAUUCCUGGUGUAGGGGUGAAAUCCGUAGAUAUCAGGAGGAAUACCGAUGGCGUAGGCAGGCGACUGGUCCAUUUCUGACGCUCAGGCACGAAAGCGUGGGGAGCGA